This is a long non-coding RNA of Suricata suricatta (meerkat), 506 nucleotides long. RefSeq lists it as uncharacterized. The record is from RefSeq and is a predicted model, not a curated record. The transcript has 3 exons. NCBI's taxonomy places the organism in Eukaryota, Metazoa, Chordata, Mammalia, Carnivora, Herpestidae.
UACUCCUAGACCAUGGUUGACCACAGGUGAUUGAAACUGUGGAAAGCAAAACUGCGGGCAAAGUGGGGACUACUGUAUUUAAGCUGAUGACUACCACAUUCAUAUCUUCAAUCUGGACCUGUCUGCUUCAUCACCAUCUCCACCUGGAUAAAUAAUAGAGCUUCAAGCUGGCCUAAACAAGCGCAAAUCAGACUUUCGAAGGUUGGAAGAUGGAAAAGAGAGCUCCAAGAUACAGAGCCGGCCAGAAGAGUCUCUCCAUCUGGAGCUCAGAAUUCUCAGAGUUGUGUGCAGGCCCAGAUAAGCAACUAGGAGGCUACUCCAUGGAUAGGUCAGCGGAUAUACAACAGGUUGUCUACCUUCACCUGUCUGGAAGGCAGCAGUGUCAUAGGACAGGCCAGAGACACAGAAAGGGAAGGCCAGGCAGGAUCUGGGCUCCGGAACAAAAGAUUGGUGGCCAGGAGGGUGGUAUUUGGUGUCAUCGUGAAUAAAUGUCUCAUGGAGCUUAA